UUUAAUUUCACUACACGCUCUACAUCCUUUCUAAUUCUAAACUCUAUAUUCCCAAAUUCAAUCUUCUCUCGUAUUUGCAAUAAAAAAAUCCAUCUUCGCUAUCCUCUCACAAUGAAUGAUGAGCUCCUUCAAGCCCCUGCGUAUUUAUCUUCACGCUCUCCUCUCACGGUGAAUGGUGAGAUCCUUCAAGCCAUUGUGUUCCCAUCCAUUGAACUCCUUCAAGCCUUGCGUGGGCAUCCACUGAAUUCCUUCAAGCUCUUGCGUUCUCAUCUGCAACAAAAAACCAGCACCCUCUUACAAGCUAGCUUCUUCAGAUCUGGAACCAUAUCCACUGUGGGGUCAUUGAGUUCGCUUGCCAUUGGUCAAGUACGAACGCGACAGAUCCUUUGCCGCAUCGCCACCACCAGUCACAACAGUCCUGUCGCGGAGAGUCUGUCGUCACGAUGUCGUAGUCAUCAUCCUCACGAAGUCUCUGUCAUCCAACAGUCUCUAAAAUGUGCUUUAGGUGUUAAAGGGAUUAUUUAACCUUGGAGUAUCGUGAGCCUUGAUGUGUUGGCGGGGGAUUGGGUGUUUUUUUUAUUGUUGUUGAGAGCUUUCCUAUUGGAUCACUAUCUCUUAAGUACUUGUAACAUGUUAUGCUUCUCUUAAGUACUAGAACUCCUUGUGUUAUCCAUAAUACACAAUUUCUUAUAAAAAAAACUAGGCCAUGUAAACCUAUUUCCUUUUUUUUCCUUCCCCAUGCCUUUGGAUUAAGUAUGGAUUUAAUGUAGUUUGAGUCCAAUUAUUACUGGUAUGCCAAAAUAUUGACUCAAAUGGUGUGCUAGAUUAAUGGUUAAUGGAAGAAUAUGAAUGUCAAAUGGUCCCAGUUGAGAAGAUCUUAA
Molecule: long non-coding RNA, 881 nt
Organism: Lotus japonicus
Lineage: Eukaryota; Viridiplantae; Streptophyta; Magnoliopsida; Fabales; Fabaceae
Exons: 2
Source: RefSeq, a predicted model, not a curated record